ACAUAUUGUGAGCUUGAUGAGUAGGGCGGGACACGUGGUAUCCUGUCUGAAUAUGGGGGGACCAUCCUCCAAGGCUAAAUACUCCUGACUGACCGAUAGUGAACCAGUACCGUGAGGGAAAGGCGAAAAGAACCCCGGCGAGGGGAGUGAAAAAGAACCUGAAACCGUGUACGUACAAGCAGUGGGAGCACGCUUAGGCGUGUGACUGCGUACCUUUUGUAUAAUGGGUCAGCGACUUAUAUUCUGUAGCAAGGUUAACCGAAUAGGGGAGCCGAAGGGAAACCGAGUCUUAACUGGGCGUUAAGUUGCAGGGUAUAGACCCGAAACCCGGUGAUCUAGCCAUGGGCAGGUUGAAGGUUGGGUAACACUAACUGGAGGACCGAACCGACUAAUGUUGAAAAAUUAGCGGAUGACUUGUGGCUGGGGGUGAAAGGCCAAUCAAACCGGGAGAUAGCUGGUUCUCCCCGAAAGCUAUUUAGGUAGCGCCUCGUGAAUUCAUCUCCGGGGGUAGAGCACUGUUUCGGCAAGGGGGUCAUCCCGACUUACCAACCCGAUGCAAACUGCGAAUACCGGAGAAUGUUAUCACGGGAGACACACGGCGGGUGCUAACGUCCGUCGUGAAGAGGGAAACAACCCAGACCGCCAGCUAAGGUCCCAAAGUCAUGGUUAAGUGGGAAACGAUGUGGGAAGGCCCAGACAGCCAGGAUGUUGGCUUAGAAGCAGCCAUCAUUUAAAGAAAGCGUAAUAGCUCACUGGUCGAGUCGGCCUGCGCGGAAGAUGUAACGGGGCUAAACCAUGCACCGAAGCUGCGGCAGCGAUGCUUAUGCGUUG
Molecule: ribosomal RNA, 831 nt
Filed under: Shigella sonnei
Lineage: Bacteria; Pseudomonadati; Pseudomonadota; Gammaproteobacteria; Enterobacterales; Enterobacteriaceae
Description: partial 23S ribosomal RNA
Rfam family: Bacterial large subunit ribosomal RNA
Source: RNAcentral